RNAcentral lists this ribosomal RNA (675 nucleotides) under Zoarces americanus (ocean pout). RNAcentral describes it as "partial small subunit ribosomal RNA". It matches the Rfam family "Bacterial small subunit ribosomal RNA", at positions 512 to 1502 of the family's 1533-position model. The record is from RNAcentral. Lineage: Eukaryota; Metazoa; Chordata; Actinopteri; Perciformes; Zoarcidae.
CCACCGCGGUUAUACGAGAGGCCCAAGUUGAAAGACCCUGGCGUAAAGAGUGGUUAAGCUAGAAUUUACACUAAAGCCGAACAUCCUCACGGCUGUUAUACGCACCCGAAGAUAAGAAGCCCAGCCACGAAGGUAGCUUUAUUUAACUGAACCCACGAAAGCUACGGCACAAACUGAGAUUAGAUACCUCACUAUGCCUAGCCCUAAACAUUGAUAGUAUACUACACCCGCUAUCCGCCUGGGAACUACGAGCAUCAGCUUAAAACCCAAAGGACUUGGCGGUGCUUUAGACCCACCUAGAGGAGCCUGUUCUAGAACCGAUAACCCCCGUUCAACCUCACCUUUCCUUGUUUUACCCGCCUAUAUACCGCCGUCGUCAGCUUACCCUGUGAAGGUUUAAUAGUAAGCAAAACUGGCUUAGCCCCAAACGUCAGGUCGAGGUGUAGCGAAUGGGAGGGGAAGAAAUGGGCUACAUUCGCUGCUACAGCGAACACGGACGAUGCACUGAAACGUUCAUCCGAAGGAGGAUUUAGCAGUAAGCAGGAAAUAGAGUGUUCCGCUGAAAUUGGCCCUGAAGCGCGCACACACCGCCCGUCACUCUCCCCAAGCCCACCAACUUAAUUAACUUAAACCCUAAUAAUCGCAAAGGGGAGGCAAGUCGUAACAUGGUAAGUG